UCACUCAAUAUUUUUUAUUAUUAUUCUAUUGAUGAAUACUUUUUUCUAUUGUGGUGCGGGAGAACUGGUAAUGGAACAAAAGUCAUCUACUUUGAAAUGACAUAGACAUUAAUAUGUUCUGACACAUGUAUUUAUCAAGUGCAACGCAGUACAUCGUGGUAUGUGCAAUCUUGAAUGGUACAAAUUGGAAUCUAGAAAGGCGAGAAAUCUUAUCUUAUUAAUGAUACGAGCCAACCAUCCUUUUCCCAUCUCUGCAGGAAAGAUUAUUCCAUUAACAAUGGCUACUUUUUGCAGCAUAUUGAAAACAUCGUGUGGCUAUAUAUCUUUCUUACUAACAAAACAUGGUUGAAGAUCGUGAUGAUAUAUGAUUUAAUAUUUAUUUACGAAAGUAGUGGAUGUGUUUGCAGUUAAAUAAUUGCGAGUAUAUAGAACCCUAUUAAAAAUACAAUUACGUCAUUUUUUAUAUCGAAGUAAACGCAUACACAAUAAAGCAAUACAAAAAAACUUUUUAGAUAAUCAACUGAGGAUGAAAGCGGCACACGUUUAAUACUUAGGCUGAAGACCGCGAUAAUACAUUAAUAUUUAUUAUUUACGAAAGAAAUGAAUACGUUUGCCAAUUAUAUAAUUACAAGUUCUAGACAAUUAAUUGUUACGAUAGAAAUAAACUUUAUGUUUUAUGUGUUUGCUAUCGAUUGGAAAUUAUAUUAUUAAAUAUUUUGUGACAUGGCGAU
Molecule: long non-coding RNA, 731 nt
Organism: Temnothorax curvispinosus
Lineage: Eukaryota; Metazoa; Arthropoda; Insecta; Hymenoptera; Formicidae
Exons: 4
Source: RefSeq, a predicted model, not a curated record